UGUAAAUCAGGGGAAGCAGCGAGGAGAAGACUGAGGGGGCAAGGGGUAUUGAGAAUCAAUGGGCGUAAAGAGUGGUUAGGCGGUGUUAUAAGUCAGAAGUUAAAUCCUAUAGGUUAGCGAUAGAACGGCUUUUGAGACUGUAUACCUAGAAUGUGGGAGAGGUAGAGGGAAUUUCGGGGGGAGGGGUAAUAUCCGUAGAGAUCAGAAGGAAGACCGAUUGCGAAGGCGAUCUACUGGAACAUUAUUGACGCUGAGACGCGAAAGCGUGGGGAGCAAACAGGAUUAGAUACCCCGGUAGUC
RNAcentral lists this ribosomal RNA (300 nucleotides) under uncultured Syntrophomonas sp. Its description in RNAcentral is "bacterial SSU rRNA". It matches the Rfam family "Bacterial small subunit ribosomal RNA", at positions 496 to 795 of the family's 1533-position model. The record is from RNAcentral. Lineage: Bacteria; Bacillati; Bacillota; Clostridia; Eubacteriales; Syntrophomonadaceae.